Long non-coding RNA from Mastomys coucha (southern multimammate mouse), 563 nucleotides. RefSeq lists it as uncharacterized. Lineage: Eukaryota; Metazoa; Chordata; Mammalia; Rodentia; Muridae. The record is from RefSeq and is a predicted model, not a curated record. The transcript has 2 exons.
GAAAGGCAGCUUUGUUAUUUCUCCCAGAUCAAAGGGAGGGACCCCAAGACCUGUUGGAGCUUAGGUGUUGGCUCAAUUCACUGUGAGAUGGUCAAUUGCUUGGGGUGCUGAGGCAGCCCCUGCUGGGGAGCUGGAGGGAACUGCUGGUGUUUAUUUGGAUGGUGAGAUGCUAUUUAAAAUCAGGCUUUGUUUCUGAAAAUGAGACAGCUGGGGCUACAUUUGGUGGAUAAAGACAUUUUGUUGAACUUUCAAAAUGGGGUAUUAUUUUCCAUUUACACUUAUUUCACGGAGAAUUGUAAGAAGAUGGAAUUGUAGACGUGUCUGCGAUAUGCCGUAAUGAGUGAUGGAUCUUUGAAGCCCUCGACAGCUCAGCCUCAUGCUGGACCUGCCAUUGAGUUACAGCCAUGCAGGAAGCCAUUAUCAGUAAUUGAGGAUCUAUCUUCUAGAUGAAGAUGCACUGUCACCAAGAGGGAAUAAAUCACCUGUUCUACCCUCCCUGCCCUCACUCAAACCUGUAUCCAAUUCAAAUUAAACUGGACCUUCUUGGUACUGCAUAGAUAGGC